AGAUGAGUUCUCCCUGACCCUUUAAGGUCCUGAAGGAACGUUGAAGACGACGACGUUGAUAGGCCGGGUGUGUAAGCGCAGCGAUGCGUUGAGCUAACCGGUACUAAUGAACCGUGAGGCUUAACCUU
This 128-nucleotide ribosomal RNA is filed under the name Shigella flexneri. Its description in RNAcentral is "partial 23S ribosomal RNA". It matches the Rfam family "Bacterial large subunit ribosomal RNA", at positions 2802 to 2925 of the family's 2925-position model. Lineage: Bacteria; Pseudomonadati; Pseudomonadota; Gammaproteobacteria; Enterobacterales; Enterobacteriaceae. The record is from RNAcentral.